GCUGUUAUAGUUCAGUCGGUAGAGCGCAUCCUUGGUAAGGAUGAGGUCGGCGGUUCGAAUCCGCCCAGCAGCUCCA
This 76-nucleotide transfer RNA is filed under the name Oscillibacter sp. Its description in RNAcentral is "tRNA-Thr". It matches the Rfam family "tRNA". From Rfam's summary of the family: Transfer RNA (tRNA) molecules are approximately 80 nucleotides in length. Their secondary structure includes four short double-helical elements and three loops (D, anti-codon, and T loops). Further hydrogen bonds mediate the characteristic L-shaped molecular structure. tRNAs have two regions of fundamental functional importance: the anti-codon, which is responsible for specific mRNA codon recognition, and the 3' end, to which the tRNAs corresponding amino acid is attached (by aminoacyl-tRNA synthetases). tRNAs cope with the degeneracy of the genetic code in two manners: having more than one tRNA (with a specific anti-codon) for a particular amino acid; and 'wobble' base-pairing, i.e. permitting non-standard base-pairing at the 3rd anti-codon position. Lineage: Bacteria; Bacillati; Bacillota; Clostridia; Eubacteriales; Oscillospiraceae. The record is from RNAcentral.